UACCCGCGACAGGACGGAAAGACCCCAUGGAGCUUUACUGUAGCUUGAUAUUGAGUGUUUGUACAGCUUGUACAGGAUAGGUAGGAGCCAUAGAAACCGGAACGCUAGUUUCGGUGGAGGCGUUGGUGGGAUACUACCCUCGCUGUAUGACCACUCUAACCCGCACCACUAAUCGUGGUGGGAGACAGUGUCAGGUGGGCAGUUUGACUGGGGCGGUCGCCUCCUAAAAAGUAACGGAGGCGCCCAAAGGUUCCCUCAGAAUGGUUGGAAAUCAUUCGCAGAGUGUAAAGGCACAAGGGAGCUUGACUGCGAGACAGACAGGUCGAGCAGGGACGAAAGUCGGGCUUAGUGAUCCGGUGGUACCGUAUGGAAGGGCCAUCGCUCAACGGAUAAAAGCUACCCUGGGGAUAACAGGCUUAUCUCCCCCAAGAGUCCACAUCGACGGGGAGGUUUGGCACCUCGAUGUCGGCUCAUCGCAUCCUGGGGCUGUAGUCGGUCCCAAGGGUUGGGCUGUUCGCCCAUUAAAGCGGUACGCGAGCUGGGUUCAGAACGUCGUGAGACAGUUCGGUCCCUAUCCGUCGCGGGCGUAGGAAAUUUGAGAGGACCUGUCCUUAGUACGAGAGGACCGGGAUGGAC
This 636-nucleotide ribosomal RNA is filed under the name Lactiplantibacillus plantarum. Its description in RNAcentral is "bacterial LSU rRNA". It matches the Rfam family "Bacterial large subunit ribosomal RNA", at positions 2067 to 2702 of the family's 2925-position model. The record is from RNAcentral. Lineage: Bacteria; Bacillati; Bacillota; Bacilli; Lactobacillales; Lactobacillaceae.